UAAUUCUUACAUGACAACUAACACACAGGG
Molecule: non-coding RNA, 30 nt
Filed under: Homo sapiens (human)
Lineage: Eukaryota; Metazoa; Chordata; Mammalia; Primates; Hominidae
Source: RNAcentral